UGCGGAAGGAUCAUUACCGAGUGUAGGGUUCCUAGCGAGCCCAACCUCCCACCCGUGUUUACUGUACCUUAGUUGCUUCGGCGGGCCCGCCAUUCAUGGCCGCCGGGGGCUCUCAGCCCCGGGCCCGCGCCCGCCGGAGACACCACGAACUCUGUCUGAUCUAGUGAAGUCUGAGUUGAUUGUAUCGCAAUCAGUUAAAACUUUCAACAAUGGAUCUCUUGGUUCCGGCAUCGAUGAAGAACGCAGCGAAAUGCGAUAACUAGUGUGAAUUGCAGAAUUCCGUGAAUCAUCGAGUCUUUGAACGCACAUUGCGCCCCCUGGUAUUCCGGGGGGCAUGCCUGUCCGAGCGUCAUUGCUGCCCAUCAAGCACGGCUUGUGUGUUGGGUCGUCGUCCCCUCUCCGGGGGGGACGGGCCCCAAAGGCAGCGGCGGCACCGCGUCCGAUCCUCGAGCGUAUGGGGCUUUGUCACCCGCUCUGUAGGCCCGGCCGGCGCUUGCCGAACGCAAAUCAAUCUUUUUCCAGGUUGACCUCGGAUCAGGUAGGGAUACCCGCUGAACUUAAGCAUAU
RNAcentral lists this ribosomal RNA (567 nucleotides) under Aspergillus flavus. RNAcentral describes it as "eukaryotic LSU rRNA". The stretch from base 199 to 352 matches the Rfam family "5.8S ribosomal RNA". The record is from RNAcentral. Lineage: Eukaryota; Fungi; Ascomycota; Eurotiomycetes; Eurotiales; Aspergillaceae.